RNAcentral lists this ribosomal RNA (496 nucleotides) under uncultured bacterium. RNAcentral's name for it is "bacterial SSU rRNA". It matches the Rfam family "Bacterial small subunit ribosomal RNA", at positions 8 to 526 of the family's 1533-position model. The record is from RNAcentral.
AGAGUUUGAUCAUGGCUCAGAUUGAACGCUGGCGGCAUGCCUUACACAUGCAAGUCGAACGGCAGCGCGGGGUAACCUGGCGGCGAGUGGCGAACGGGUGAGUAACAUAUCGGAACGUACCCUGGAGUGGGGGAUAACGUAGCGAAAGUUACGCUAAUACCGCAUACGAUCUAAGGAUGAAAGUGGGGGAUCGCAAGACCUCAUGCUCGUGGAGCGGCCGAUAUCUGAUUAGCUAGUUGGUGGGGUAAAAGCCUACCAAGGCGACGAUCAGUAGCUGGUCUGAGAGGACGACCAGCCACACUGGAACUGAGACACGGUCCAGACUCCUACGGGAGGCAGCAGUGGGGAAUUUUGGACAAUGGGCGAAAGCCUGAUCCAGCAAUGCCGCGUGUGUGAAGAAGGCCUUCGGGUUGUAAAGCUCUUUUACCCGGGAAGAUAAUGACUGUACCGGGAGAAUAAGCCCCGGCUAACUCCGUGCCAGCCGCCGCGGUAAUUC